CGUAGGUGGCGAGCGUUGUCCGGAAUUAUUGGGCGUAAAGGGCGCGUAGGCGGCUCUUUAAGUCAGAUGUGAAAACCCAGGGCUUAACUCUGGGAGUGCAUUUGAAACUGAAGAGCUCGAGUGCAGGAGAGGUAAGUGGAAUUCCUAGUGUAGCGGUGAGAUGCGUAGAUAUUAGGAGGAACACCAGUGGCGAAGGCGACUUACUGGACUGUAACUGACGCUGAGGCGCGAAAGCGUGGGGAGCAAACAGGAUUAGAUACCCUGGUAGUCCACGCUGUAAACGAUGGAUACUAGGUGUGGGAGGUAUCGACCCCUUCCGUGCCGCAGUUAACGCAAUAAGUAUCCCGCCUGGGGAGUACGGCCGCAAGGUUG
This 372-nucleotide ribosomal RNA is filed under the name uncultured organism. Its description in RNAcentral is "bacterial SSU rRNA". It matches the Rfam family "Bacterial small subunit ribosomal RNA", at positions 526 to 896 of the family's 1533-position model. The record is from RNAcentral.